This 439-nucleotide ribosomal RNA is filed under the name uncultured bacterium. RNAcentral's name for it is "partial 16S ribosomal RNA". It matches the Rfam family "Bacterial small subunit ribosomal RNA", at positions 338 to 795 of the family's 1533-position model. The record is from RNAcentral.
CCUACGGGAGGCAGCAGUGGGGAAUAUUGCACAAUGGGGGAAACCCUGAUGCAGCGACGCCGCGUGUGGGAAGACGGUCCUCUGUAUUGUACACCACUGUCCCCAGGGACGAAGAUGACGGUACCUGGGGAGGAAGCUCCGGCUAACUACGUGCCAGCAGCCGCGGUACUACGUAGGGAGCGAGCGUUGUCCGGAAUUACUGGGUGUAAAGGGAGCGUAGGCGGGACUGCAAGUUGGGUGUCAAAUCUACCGGCUCAACCGGUAGCCGCACUCAAAACUGCAGUUCUUGAGUGAAGUAGAGGAAGGCGGAAUUGCUAGUGUAGCGGUGAAAUGCGUAGAUAUUAGGAGGAACACCAGUGGCGAAGGCGGCCUGCUGGGCUUUUACUGACGCUGAGGUCGAAAGUGUGGGGAGCAAACAGGAUUAGAUACCCGUGUAGUC